This 2545-nucleotide ribosomal RNA is filed under the name Arsenophonus endosymbiont of Siphoninus phillyreae. Its description in RNAcentral is "bacterial LSU rRNA". It matches the Rfam family "Bacterial large subunit ribosomal RNA", at positions 1 to 2581 of the family's 2925-position model. Lineage: Bacteria; Pseudomonadati; Pseudomonadota; Gammaproteobacteria; Enterobacterales; Morganellaceae. The record is from RNAcentral.
GGUUAAGCGAAUGAAGCGUACACGGUGGAUGCCUAGGCAGUCAGAGGCGAUGAAGGACGUGCUAAUCUGCGAAAAGCGUCGGUAAGCUGAUAUGAAGCGUUAUAGCCGGCGAUGUCCGAAUGGGGAAACCCAGUGCAUUAAUGCACUAUCGUUUGAUGAAUUCAUAGUCAAACGAGGCGAACCGGGGGAACUGAAACAUCUCAGUACCCCGAGGAAAAGAAAUCAACCGAGAUUCCCCUAGUAGCGGCGAGCGAACGGGGAGUAGCCCAGAGUCAGCAUCGAUAUUAGCAUCAGGAGAAGGGUCUGGAAAGGCCAGCCAUAAAGGGUGAUAGCCCCGUAUCCGAAGGUGUUAGUAUCGUGAGCUCGAAGAGUAGGGCGGGACACGUGUUAUCCUGUCUGAAUAAGGGGGGACCAUCCUCCAAGGCUAAAUACUCCUGACUGACCGAUAGUGAACCAGUACCGUGAGGGAAAGGCGAAAAGAACCCCGGCGAGGGGAGUGAAAGAGAACCUGAAACCGUGUACGUACAAGCAGUGGGAGCCGGUGACUGCGUACCUUUUGUAUAAUGGGUCAGCGACUUAUAUUCUGUAGCAAGGUUAACCGUAUAGGGGAGCCGUAGGGAAACCGAGUCUUAACUGGGCGUCAAGUUGCAGGGUAUAGACCCGAAACCCGGUGAUCUAGCCAUGGGCAGGUUGAAGGUUGGGUAACACUAACUGGAGGACCGAACCGACUAAUGUUGAAAAAUUAGCGGAUGACUUGUGGCUGGGGGUGAAAGGCCAAUCAAACCGGGAGAUAGCUGGUUCUCCCCGAAAGCUAUUUAGGUAGCGCCUCGUGAAUUCAUCUUCGGGGGUAGAGCACUGUUUCGGCUAGGGGGUCAUCCCGACUUACCAACCCGAUGCAAACUCCGAAUACCGAAGAAUGUCAUCACGGGAGACACACGGCGGGUGCUAACGUCCGUCGUGAAGAGGGAAACAACCCAGACCGCCAGCUAAGGUCCCCAAGUCAUGGUUAAGUGGGAAACGAAGUGGGAAGGCUUAGACAGCCAGGAUGUUGGCUUAGAAGCAGCCAUCAUUUAAAGAAAGCGUAAUAGCUCACUGGUCGAGUCGGCCUGCGCGGAAGAUGUAACGGGGCUAAACCAUGCACCGAAGCUGCGGCAGCAACAGCAAUGUUGUUGGGUAGGGGAGCGUUCUGUAAGCCGUUGAAGGUGGACUGAGAGGUCUGCUGGAGGUAUCAGAAGUGCGAAUGCUGACAUAAGUAACGAUAAAGCGGGUGAAAAACCCGCUCGCCGAAAGACCAAGGGUUCCUGUCCAACGUUAAUCGGGGCAGGGUAAGUCGACCCCUAAGGCGAGGCUGAAAAGCGUAGUCGAUGGGAAACGGGUUAAUAUUCCCGUACUAAGGAUUACUGCGAAGUGGGGACGGAGAAGGCUAGGCUAUCCGGGCGACGGUUGUCCCGGUUUAAGCGUGUAGGUGGGUCGUGCAGGCAAAUCCGUACGACUAUAACACUGAGGCGUGAUGACGAGCCACCAAGGUGGUGAAGUAGUUGAUGCCCAGCUUCCAGGAAAAGCCGCUAAGCGAUAGGUAAUCCUUAAUCGUACCCCAAACCGACACAGGUGGUUAGGUAGAGAAUACUCAGGCGCUUGAGAGAACUCGGGUGAAGGAACUAGGCAAAAUGGUGCCGUAACUUCGGGAGAAGGCACGCUGGCGUUAGGUGAAAUGGUUAACCCAUGGAGCUGAAGCCAGUCGCAGAUACCAGCUGGCUGCAACUGUUUAUUAAAAACACAGCACUGUGCAAACACGAAAGUGGACGUAUACGGUGUGACGCCUGCCCGGUGCUGGAAGGUUAAUUGAUGGGGUAAGCCGUAAGGCGAAGCUCUUGAUCGAAGCCCCAGUAAACGGCGGCCGUAACUAUAACGGUCCUAAGGUAGCGAAAUUCCUUGUCGGGUAAGUUCCGACCUGCACGAAUGGCGUAAUGAUGGCCAGGCUGUCUCCACCCGAGACUCAGUGAAAUUGAACUCGCUGUGAAGAUGCAGUGUACCCGCGGCAAGACGGAAAGACCCCGUGAACCUUUACUAUAGCUUGACACUGAACAUUGAGCCUUGAUGUGUAGGAUAGGUGGGAGGCUAGGAAGUGUGGACGCCAGUCUGCAUGGAGCCAACGUUGAAAUACCACCCUUUAAUGUUUGAUGUUCUAACUUAGGCCCGUUAUCCGGGCUGAGGACAGUGUCUGGUGGGUAGUUUGACUGGGGCGGUCUCCUCCCAAAGUGUAACGGAGGAGCACGAAGGUUGGCUAAUCACGGUCGGACAUCGUGAGGUUAGUGCAAAGGCAUAAGCCAGCUUGACUGCGAGCGUGACGGCGCGAGCAGGUACGAAAGUAGGUCUUAGUGAUCCGGUGGUUCUGAAUGGAAGGGCCAUCGCUCAACGGAUAAAAGGUACUCCGGGGAUAACAGGCUGAUACCGCCCAAGAGUUCAUAUCGACGGCGGUGUUUGGCACCUCGAUGUCGGCUCAUCACAUCCUGGGGCUGAAGUAGGUCCCAAGGGUAUGGCUGUU